Molecule: regulatory RNA element, 100 nt
Organism: Methanosarcina acetivorans
Lineage: Archaea; Methanobacteriati; Methanobacteriota; Methanomicrobia; Methanosarcinales; Methanosarcinaceae
Rfam family: Pyrrolysine insertion sequence transposase 1
Source: Rfam
UAGGAAAUAGAACACUCUUUGAGUUGCUGCAAAGAAUGUGGACACACUCUUGAGAAUGUUGAAGUUGAAGCUUAUGAGAAAAGACAGGUCUUUGAUAUUC